ACGGGAGGCAGCAGUGGGGAAUAUUGGGCAAUGGGCGAAAGCCUGACCCAGCAACGCCGCGUGAGGGAAGAAGGUUUUCGGAUUGUAAACCUCUGUCCUCAGGGACGAAGGACGUGACGGUACCUGAGGAGGAAGCCCCGGCUAACUACGUGCCAGCAGCCGCGGUAAUACGUAGGGGGCGAGCGUUGUCCGGAAUGACUGGGCGUAAAGGGCGUGUAGGCGGCUUUUUAAGUCUGGAGUGAAAGCCCCUUUUUCAAGGAGGGGAGUGCUUUGGAGACUGGAGAGCUUGAGUGCGGAAGAGGUAAGUGGAAUUCCCAGUGUAGCGGUGAAAUGCGUAGAGAUUGGGAGGAACACCAGUGGCGAAGGCGACUUACUGGGCCGUAACUGACGCUGAGGCGCGAAAGCGUGGGGAGCGAACAGGAUUAGAUACCCUGGUA
This 437-nucleotide ribosomal RNA is filed under the name uncultured bacterium. RNAcentral's name for it is "bacterial SSU rRNA". It matches the Rfam family "Bacterial small subunit ribosomal RNA", at positions 341 to 792 of the family's 1533-position model. The record is from RNAcentral.